RNAcentral lists this microRNA (24 nucleotides) under Mus musculus (house mouse). RNAcentral's name for it is "mmu-miR-6396". Lineage: Eukaryota; Metazoa; Chordata; Mammalia; Rodentia; Muridae. The record is from miRBase by way of RNAcentral.
GGGGCCUUAGCUCCUAGUCCUGGA